RNAcentral lists this ribosomal RNA (377 nucleotides) under Mucor sp. BAB-2309. Its description in RNAcentral is "eukaryotic LSU rRNA". It matches the Rfam family "Eukaryotic large subunit ribosomal RNA", at positions 377 to 665 of the family's 3401-position model. The record is from RNAcentral. Lineage: Eukaryota; Fungi; Mucoromycota; Mucoromycetes; Mucorales; Mucoraceae.
UGAAAAGAGAGUUAAACAGUAUGUGAAAUUGUUAAAAGGGAACCGUUUGGAGCCAGACUGGCUUGAUCGUAAUCACUCUAGGCUUUGGCCUGGAUGCACUUGCGGUCUAUGCCGGCCAACGACAGUUUUGUUUGAGGGAAAAAAUUACAUUGAAUGUGGCCCUUCGGGGUGUUAUAGCUUUGUAAAAAAUACCUUGGACGGGACUGAGGAACGCAGCGAAUGCCUUUAGGCGAGAUUGCUGGGUGCUUGCGCUGAUACAUGCUAGAAUUUCUGCUUCGGGUGGUGCUAGUGUGUAAAGGAGUAACCCGCUUAGUAUAUUUUUUAUUCGCUUAGGUUGUUGGCUUAAUGACUCUAAAUGACCCGUCUUGAAACACGGA